Long non-coding RNA from Lycium barbarum (goji berry), 1251 nucleotides. RefSeq lists it as uncharacterized. NCBI's taxonomy places the organism in Eukaryota, Viridiplantae, Streptophyta, Magnoliopsida, Solanales, Solanaceae. The record is from RefSeq and is a predicted model, not a curated record. The transcript is spliced from 3 exons.
AUAUGAAUAGUUGUCCUGAUGAAGUGGCUAGUAAAAUGGUGUAGGACGACAACAAAUAUUUGAAAAGAAUGAGAGUUAGUUAAGUUGCAAUGAAAGACACAGAAAAGAAAGAGAGAAAAAAAAGGCCAAAACACACACAAAAAAUGCGCACAAACACAAACAAUGAAAGACACAGAAAAGAAAGAGAAAAAAAAGGCCAAAACACACAAAGUAUCCAUUAAAAAAAAAUACCUAGAGCAAUUUAGGAGUUUCAAAAAGGUUUCGUUGGAGUUCGAGUUUUUCAUUCGCGGAUUCGAGUUUGUGGACCUGAAUAGCUUUGCUAGCUUUGGAAAUAUGUAGAUUGUACGUUGCUCUCCGAAAAGAAUUUGAAGGUUACGUUCCUGGACUAGCACAAACAAACAAUUCAAAAAGGCUGUGUGUGGUUAUGCUCCUUAACCCCUCGAUCAAAUAGUUAUGUAGUUUUCGUUUGUUGGUAUCUCAAUAUGUUGAAGUCAUCAUGUUUAUACCCAUCUGCUGCACUUAAUCAUGUUGGAUAAGCAGCUCAUUUUUUUGUUAGGUACUGGAAAGAAAAAGGAAGAAAUGGGCUUUGGAGUUACACAAAUUUAAAUAAGAAAGCAGACAGUGGCUUAACAACAAGUGGACUUAAUAUCAUGAUUAAUCAGUUUGCUUAAAUGUUAUUUGAGCCUAAUGAUUCUUGGAUGCUGAGUGUUUAAAUUAUUUGGUUAGUGCUUCUUCAUCCUAUAUUUAGCCAUGAAUCAGUUGAUAAAAUUAAUUAUACUUUGGUCAUGUGUUCGGUUACGCUCCUUGGCUAAGCAUGAAUUAAUAAUUCCAACGAGUCUCGUGUGAGGUUACUCUCCUUGGCUCCACGUUAACCCAAACAAUUGUGAGAAGAACGAGAUGAGAUACAAAUUUAUUUCAAAUCCCGUUGUCACAUAAAAAAAAAAGUGGAAAGAACACGUGUGAGAGAGUGAGGCGGGUUGUGAAUUAAUUCAAAAUCCGUUGCAAAAAGAGUGAAUUAAAAAAAAAAAAAACAAAUUAGGCAAGCAUAGGCAAAUAAACACAAUGUUGUCUAAAAAUAAAUUUUAGCCAAAUAUAAGUCGAUAAAAGCGACCGUGCUAGAAUCACAAGACUCGGGGGUGCCUCAUACUUUCCUUCCGGCAGACCAAAAAUAAAAAGCCAUUUCCUUUUGAAUAGGGAUUCAUUAAGAUGACUUGGAAUAACAAAACUCAAUUCCAAGUGGCGACUCUUAAU